GUUAACUGGUCAGGGAAAAGAUUUCUUUUGGAACGCAGAAGCCAUCGCUGUGUGCAGAAGAAAUCCAUGACCUGGCCAUGACUUCUACAACCCGGAGGACUUGCCCGGCAUUACUGAAAAGCACAGGGGAAAGAUUCUGUGGCAGAGAAUGAUGGGAGUUGUGAUCUGUAUCUCCGUGUGCAUAAUGGUUGUACCUGGGUCUCUCCCUGUCCCUGCUCCAGGAAGGCGCUGGAUCCUCCCAAGUCCAUGGGAAGAGAUUAGGACACAAAAAAACAGACAGAAGGUGACCACAGGAGGACAUAGUGAGAAGCUGGCCAUCUGCAAGCCAAGGAGAGAGGCCUCAGGAGAAACCAAACCUGCCAGCACCUUGAUCUUAGACUUCUAGCCCUCAGAACAGUGAGGAAAUAAAUCUCUGUUGUUCAUGCC
RNAcentral lists this long non-coding RNA (426 nucleotides) under Pongo abelii (Sumatran orangutan). Its description in RNAcentral is "lincRNA". Lineage: Eukaryota; Metazoa; Chordata; Mammalia; Primates; Hominidae. The record is from RNAcentral.